This 1429-nucleotide ribosomal RNA is filed under the name metagenome. Its description in RNAcentral is "bacterial SSU rRNA". It matches the Rfam family "Archaeal small subunit ribosomal RNA". The record is from RNAcentral.
UCCCGUUGAUCCUGCGGGAGGUUGCUGCUAUUAGAGUUUGACUAAGCCAUGCAAGUUAGGUGACUUUAUGUUGCCGGCAAACUGCUCAGUAACACGUCGAUAAUCUGCCCUUGGAUUCAGGAUAACCUUGGGAAACUGAGGCUAAUAUUGAAUAGGGGAUUAUUUCUGGAAUGAAUUAUCCUUUAAAAGUAAUGUCCGAGAAUGGGUCGGCGGCCAAUCAGGUUGUUGGUGGUGUAAUGGACCACCAAGCCGAAGAUUGGUAGGGGCCCUGAAAGGGGUAGCCUCGAGAAGGGCACUGAGAUACUGGCCCUAGCCCUACGGGGUGCAGCAGGCGCGGAACCUUUACACUGCACGAAAGUGUGAUAAGGGAACUCUAAGUGCUUACCUUAUGGUGGGCUUUUGCUAAAUGUAAAUAGUUUGGCGAAUAAGUGGUGGGCAAGACGGGUGCCAGCCGCCGCGGUAACACCUGCGCCACAAGUGGCAACCAUCGUUAUUGGGCCUAAAGCGUCCGUAGCCGGUUCAGUUAAUCUUUUGUGAAAUUGUUGUGCUUAACACAGCAGUGUGCAGAAGACACUACUAGACUUGGAACUGGGAGGAGUCAGAAGUAUUUUUGGGGGAGCGGUAAAAUGUUAUAAUCCCAGAAAGACUACCUGUGGCGAAAGCGUCUGACUAGCACAGAUUCGACGGUGAGGGACGAAAGCCAGGGGAGCAAUCCGGAUUAGAUACCCGAGUAGUCCUGGCCAUAAACGCUGCGAGCUAGGUGUUGCACAUUCUUCGUGAAUGUGCAGUGUCGUAGAGAAGUCGUUAAGCUCGCCGCCUGGGGAGUAUAGUCGCAAGACCGAAACUUAAAGGAAUUGGCGGGGGAGCACUACAAGGGGUGCGGCGUGCGGUUUAAUCUAAUUCAACGCAGAGAACCUCACCAGAAGCGACGGCAGAAUGAAAGUCAGUCUAAAGGGCUUACUUGACGAGCCGAGAGGUAGCGCAUGGCCGCCGUCAGCUCAUGCCGUAAGGUGUCCUGUUAAGUCAGGCAACGAGCGAGACCUGUACUUACAAUUGCUAACAACGAGUUUCGGAUUGAGCACAUUGUAGGGACCGCCCUCGAAAGGGGGAGGAAGGUGCAGGCUACGGUAGGUCUGUAUGCUCCGAAUCUUCUGGGCUACACGCGCGCAACAAUGGUAAGGACAAUGGGAUGCAACUCUGAAAAGAGGAGCUAAUCCUCCAAACCUUAUCCUAGUUCAGAUCGAGGUUUGCAACUCAGCCUCGUGACGCUGGAAUCCCUAGUAAUCAGACGUCAUCAUCGUCCGGUGAAUAUGUCCCUGCUCCUUGCACACACCGCCCGUCAAACCACCUGAGUAGGGUUUAGAUGAGGCUUAAUUUUUAAUUAAGUCGAAUCUAAGCUUUGCGAGGAGGGUUAAGUCGUCACAAGGUA